GGGAAAGCAGUAAUGGACUCUGCCAUCCAGGCUCCCAAGGACUUCAGUCUCUUGCCCAAGACUUCCUCCCCCUCAGCAUCAGAAUUCAGGUUCCGCCUGGGGCCACACAGGGUGGGGAGGGGCCCCUGCUUGCUCCAAGCUUUGCCUCCUCCCUGCCUCUAGGUUCUUCUCUGCAGGUGAGCAGGACAGUGUCCAGGGUCUUUAGGGUCUCACCCGGUUCUAAAGCUUGGGAUUCUUUGGCUCCUUCAGGCGUGGUCUUGGAAUGGAGCGAAGCAAGCCAGAAAUCACCAGGGAAGCGGGGAGAAGUAGGCCGCAGGACUCGGUUUCCAGGCUGGAAUCAGGAGCCCCGCAAUGGCAGGACCCACGCCCUGGACAAAAUCCCCAACAGAGACGCGUGCUGUCCCUAUUACAGACCCCAGGGAAGGGGAACCACAGAGGGUGUGCAUAGAGGUUCUGGGGCUUGGCCCAUGGACUUGCCAGGCAGACUGCGCAAGGACCCCGGGUGCCAAACAGACUGGCCUCCCUUAGCGAGUCCCCGGCCUUGGGGCGGCCUCCACGAGCGUGCGCUGAGCUGAGUUAGACUUGGGGUACACAGGCCUGGGGCAGAGGACUGGCUCCCAUUGGGAAGAUGUGGGUUCAGGUACCCCAAGCGAGAGCUGAUGGGCGCUGAUCUGCUUCAGCAGAGGCUCCAUGCUCUUUGGGAGGACCCGGGGCUGAAGUCCCUAAUGCAGGUGGAGGUGCCCAUCAUGCCAGGAGCCGGGUCGAUGCCCUGGGGCACCUUCCCAGCACUUUCUCCUCUGGGAAGCCGGGCAGGAUGGCUCAGCCUGGCAGCUACCACCGGGAGCAAUUCAGUUUUCAGGGCUGGGCUGGCACAUUCCCACCGACGCCAGAGUUCAGAUGGAAAUUCGUGGAGAGACAACUUAGACGAAAAUAGCCUUUUCUGGGCGGACCCUCCCCAGGAGAGCCGUCCGCUGGCAUCUGCCCCGUUUCGUAUCCCUUCUUGACUAGCUGGGGAAACCAUCA
Molecule: long non-coding RNA, 1023 nt
Filed under: Sarcophilus harrisii (Tasmanian devil)
Lineage: Eukaryota; Metazoa; Chordata; Mammalia; Dasyuromorphia; Dasyuridae
Description: lncRNA (ENSSHAG00000021270.1)
Source: RNAcentral